Molecule: ribosomal RNA, 393 nt
Filed under: uncultured bacterium
Lineage: Bacteria
Description: partial 16S ribosomal RNA
Rfam family: Bacterial small subunit ribosomal RNA
Source: RNAcentral
AUACGGAGGAUCCGAGCGUUAUCCGGAUUUAUUGGGUUUAAAGGGUGCGCAGGCGGCCGUGCAAGUCAGCGGUGAAAGCCCGGGGCUCAACCCCGGAAGUGCCGUUGAUACUGCAUGGCUGGAAUGCGGUCGAGGCGGGCGGAACGUGGCGGGUAGCGGGGAAAUGCGUAGAUAUGCCACAGAAAGCCGAUGGCGGAGGCAGCUCGCCAGGCCUGCAGUGACGCUCGGUCACGAAAGCGUGGGGAGCGAACAGGAUUAGAUACCCUGGUAGUCCACGCCGUAAACGAUGGGCGCUCGUCGUCGGCGGCAGACAGUCGGCGGCCAAGCGAAAGCGAUAAGCGCCCCACCUGGGGAGUACGGUCGCAAGGCUGAAACUCAAAUGAAUUGACGGGG